CAAAGAAAUAAAGAAACUAGAAUGCCCACCCUAGUCACACCCUAGCCUAACCAAAAUAGAGAAUAAAAGCCUCUCUAUGGCCAGGGGGUGACACCUGCUUAUGUUCAUAGAUAAGAUGAGAGCACCCCUCCAGCUAGGAUGGAGUCAGUCACUCCUCAGCAGACCAGGCUUGGUCCUGUUUAUGGGUGUCUCAGAAAGAGGGCCAAUUACCUUCAAAUUAUUUUUUGGGGGAGGGGCAGAAAACAGUUUUCAACCAGCAAUUUAAUAAGGCCUGACAAAUUUUGUUUUGACCCUACAUUAUGAAUGUGUUUAAUGCCAUGUCUGAUUUGUGAGUUGUCUGUUUAAUUUGGUUUUCACAGGUUAAACAGACUGUACCUUAAUAGGCAAACACAUGAACACGUACAUUUGUCAUCAAAAGAAUUCACUGAAGAAACUUACUGUGACAUGAAAUGUUUGACUGUUUUUACAUAAUUAAAUAGAGGAAGAAACUUCUUUGAAGGGUUUGAAUGACCUCUGACCUGAAUUUCUAGUGUGGUUUGAUCACCCUCAGACAUUGGAUGAUGAUUUAAAAGUCAUGUGUAAUAAUGAUUUGAAGGUUAUAAUCAAUUAAGGAGAAGUUUAUAAUUAUAUGUGAGUGUCACGAAUCCCGUUUCCUGAGUCUGUUUUUUGCCUGUGUUCUGUCCUGGAGUGUUUUUCCGGCGUCCUGGAACGCACCCUGUCUGGUUGCCGGGCAAUAUAGCCAGUUGAGAGUUCUGAUUACCCGCACCUGUAUCCCAUCAGCUAUCUGCACACCUGGUCCUGAUCAUCAUCUCUCCUCUUCAUAAGCCCAGACCUGACAUCCAUUCCCUGCCGGAUCGUUAGCCAUGAACAUUACUCACCCGGAUCAUUUACCCCAUUCCCGCCUGGUCGUCGGAGGAUUCCGCUACCCCAUUGGAUCCACCUAUUUACUCCCAUCAACUCACCACCGCUGCCCGCUACGCCACCUGGAUAUAUCUACCCAUUCACAUGUAAAUAAAUACUCACCUUCUUCCUACUCUCCUUGUCCUGGUCUGCUUCUGGGUUCGAUUUUGAAAGAACGUGACAGUGAGAGUCGGACCAUGAGAAGGAUAGACCUGUCUAGUCCAUUUUUCUAUUCUUUGAAUUAAUUUGAGUAAUAAAAAAUUGAAUUAUCAA
Oncorhynchus nerka (sockeye salmon) is the source of this 1173-nucleotide long non-coding RNA. RefSeq lists it as uncharacterized. NCBI's taxonomy places the organism in Eukaryota, Metazoa, Chordata, Actinopteri, Salmoniformes, Salmonidae. The transcript is spliced from 2 exons. The record is from RefSeq and is a predicted model, not a curated record.